Molecule: ribosomal RNA, 447 nt
Filed under: uncultured bacterium
Lineage: Bacteria
Description: SSU rRNA
Rfam family: Bacterial small subunit ribosomal RNA
Source: RNAcentral
AGAGCGAACGCUGGCGGCAGGCCUAACACAUGCAAGUCGAGCGCCCGUAGCAAUACGGGAGCGGCAGACGGGAUAGUAACACGUGGGAACGCGCCCUUCGGUUCGGAAUAACUCAGGGAAACUUGAGCUAAUACCGGAUACGCCCUUACGGGGAAAGAUUUAUUGCCGAAGGAACGGCCCGCGUCCGAUUAGCUAGUUGGUGAGGUAAUGGCUCACCAAGGCGACGAUCGGUAGCUGGUCUGAGAGGAUGACCAGCAUCACUGGGACUGAGACACGGCCCAGACUCCUACGGGAGGCAGCAGUGGGGAAUAUUGGACAAUGGGCGCAAGCCUGAUCCAGCCAUGCUGCGUGGAUGAUGAAGGCCUUAGGGUUGUAAAGUCCUUUUAACGGGGAAGAUAAUGACGGUACCCGUAGAAUAAGCCCGGCUAACUUCGCGCCAGCAGCCGC